AUAACUCGCUAAGUUGCGUUUUACGUAUUUAGUGUGGAAUAAAGUUUUAGAGCAAAGUACAUAGAAGAUUCAGGAGCGAUACGAUUGGAAAAGGACCCGACAUGAGCCCUAGACAAAAAAAACUGAAGCAUAUUAAAGAAUACUGGCCUACCGGACUUCUUGAGAGGCAAAGUGACGCAAAACCCGGCCUGCCCUAGGCUCUUUGCAUAUGCAAAAACACAUAAGGAUCCACUAGCCUUCAGACCAAUUGUCGAAAAAUGUAGAUCAGCCACAUAUGACCUAGAAAAGAGGAUGGCUAGAUGGAUAAAUGCCAAUUUGCAAGGGGACACACAUGCAGUCAAGUCAUCGAAAGACUUCUUGGAUAAAUUGAAAUUAGUAAAUCUGAACGGUAACGAAGUAAUGGUAACAUAUGAUUUUGAAAAUCUUUACCCAUCGUUGAGGAUUGAAGCGGUAUGCAUGUGCCUGUACAGACUUCUACUAGAACAAGCACCAGGGACGAGUCAGAGUGUAAACUUGUACAGAGAUUUGGCG
RNAcentral lists this long non-coding RNA (531 nucleotides) under Androctonus crassicauda. Lineage: Eukaryota; Metazoa; Arthropoda; Arachnida; Scorpiones; Buthidae. The record is from RNAcentral.